Molecule: long non-coding RNA, 900 nt
Organism: Loxodonta africana (African savanna elephant)
Lineage: Eukaryota; Metazoa; Chordata; Mammalia; Proboscidea; Elephantidae
Exons: 4
Source: RefSeq, a predicted model, not a curated record
CAAGCCCUUCCCUCGCCCUUCGGAGGGUCCUCACAGGCCACUAUUGGUGCGCUCCGCCGCCAGUUAGGCAGUACAGCGAGGACGCGGUGCCUUCUGGGAAGCCGGGUGCCACUCAGCCUUGACGUCCGCCCUGUGCCUCGUUUCCGGUGCGGAACCCUGGUCUCCCCGCUCGGAGCGAGCCCUCUGCGCUUGAGAAAGCGAGGCUAGAGCCCGGUCGAUAGAGCGAACAGAGCCGUGGGGAGGCCAGGCUAAUGGCAGCCGCCCUCUCUGUGGCUCUGCAUAAGAAACAGAAAGCUGGAGGCUGGCUCCAGUCCUCCAUAACGGGCUGGCACGACUCCAGGUGCAGGCACGCUCACUCCAUGGCUUGCUGGGAAAUGCAGUGUAGCUACAAACAGCCAAUGGGAGACAGCCAGGCGCGGCAGUUGGGGUGGGGCAGGACCGAGGCUGGACCGGAAGCGGGCUGUCUCUGUGACCGGAAGAUCAGCUCAAGGCCGCUGCAGUUUCCGCUGCAGCAUCCGGGGCGGGUCUAAGAACGCGGAGGCGAAUUGGAUGGAGUAGGCGUAGGUGGCCGCGCUAUUCUGAGCGUCAUUCCAGGUGUACCUUCUGCUAGGGGGGAAGCAGAUUCAGAGGCUUUUCCAGCUGGGAGGACACAAUGCCUUGCCAGACACAGGAUUCUCCAGAACCCCAAGCUCUUGCCUCCACUGGCUGUGCUGCAGAAAGGAUACUGAGCUGCCAGAGAGCGUGAGGGCUGGGAAUAUAGCCCCUGAUACCAUGCUGGAGAGGACAAUGAUGAAGCAAUUGGGUGGGACUGUGCAGAUACAGUAAUUGUGGCCCACCAAAGGGGAUUGGUUGUUCUGCCAUCCAUCUGGGCUUGUAAUGAGCCACCCCAGAGGCAGGAAA